UGACCUCAAAUCAGGUAGGAUUACCCGCUGAACUUAAGCAUAUCAU
RNAcentral lists this ribosomal RNA (46 nucleotides) under Neolentinus lepideus. RNAcentral's name for it is "partial 28S ribosomal RNA". Lineage: Eukaryota; Fungi; Basidiomycota; Agaricomycetes; Gloeophyllales; Gloeophyllaceae. The record is from RNAcentral.